Molecule: ribosomal RNA, 471 nt
Filed under: Streptococcus mitis
Lineage: Bacteria; Bacillati; Bacillota; Bacilli; Lactobacillales; Streptococcaceae
Description: bacterial SSU rRNA
Rfam family: Bacterial small subunit ribosomal RNA
Source: RNAcentral
GACGAACGCUGGCGGCGUGCCUAAUACAUGCAAGUAGAACGCUGAAGGAGGAGCUUGCUUCUCUGGAUGAGUUGCGAACGGGUGAGUAACGCGUAGGUAACCUGCCUGGUAGCGGGGGAUAACUAUUGGAAACGAUAGCUAAUACCGCAUAAGAGUAGAUGUUGCAUGACAUUUGCUUAAAAGGUGCAAUUGCAUCACUACCAGAUGGACCUGCGUUGUAUUAGCUAGUUGGUGAGGUAACGGCUCACCAAGGCAACGAUACAUAGCCGACCUGAGAGGGUGAUCGGCCACACUGGGACUGAGACACGGCCCAGACUCCUACGGGAGGCAGCAGUAGGGAAUCUUCGGCAAUGGGGGGAACCCUGACCGAGCAACGCCGCGUGAGUGAAGAAGGUUUUCGGAUCGUAAAGCUCUGUUGUAAGAGGAGAACGAGUGUGAGAGUGGAAAGUCACACUGUGACGUAUCUACCAG